This is a long non-coding RNA of Gigantopelta aegis, 275 nucleotides long. RefSeq lists it as uncharacterized. The record is from RefSeq and is a predicted model, not a curated record. NCBI's taxonomy places the organism in Eukaryota, Metazoa, Mollusca, Gastropoda, Neomphalida, Peltospiridae. The transcript has 3 exons.
GGAGUGGUGUACUGUGUUAUAAUCAGUGAAAUUUUGAAGACUGUUGAAAAUUAUACCAAGAAUUCAGGAUAUAGUGACUACAUCUUGUUGUUCUUCUUUUCAAAAUAUGUGUGGAUGAUUGGUCUGGUGUAUGUUGUUCCUGCACUCGUUGGUGUUAUUGGCAGUGGUCUAAAGUUGAAGGGUCUUCUCAUCGGCUACAUGGUUGUUGGUAGCCUGUCUCUGUUGACCAUGGGCGCCGCAAACAUCAUGCAUAUAAUUGCAGUGGUAUAUCGACA